GGGUUACACUGUCUCCUUUUUCUNUCAGUGAAACUAAUCNUCCCGUGANGAAGCGGGAAUAUCCCCAUAAGACGAGAAGACCCCANGGAGCUUCAAACCCANUUACACCCCUAACCCCUAUAACUACUUAANCCNUANGAUUCNGUAUUAUUGGUUUUAGGUUGGGGCGACCACGGAGUACNACAAAACCUCCACAANGAACGGAACUACUUCCNCAUCUGAGAGCUACAUCUCUAANAAUUAAAAUAUUAACAUAAAAUGAUCCAUUUUUGAUCAANGAACCAAGUUACCCUGGGGAUAACAGCGCANNCCAUUUCAAGAGCCCCUAUCNACAAAUGGG
This 340-nucleotide ribosomal RNA is filed under the name Mantidactylus katae. Its description in RNAcentral is "partial 16S ribosomal RNA". It matches the Rfam family "Bacterial large subunit ribosomal RNA", at positions 2008 to 2516 of the family's 2925-position model. Lineage: Eukaryota; Metazoa; Chordata; Amphibia; Anura; Mantellidae. The record is from RNAcentral.